This 405-nucleotide ribosomal RNA is filed under the name uncultured beta proteobacterium. Its description in RNAcentral is "bacterial SSU rRNA". It matches the Rfam family "Bacterial small subunit ribosomal RNA", at positions 9 to 416 of the family's 1533-position model. Lineage: Bacteria; Pseudomonadati; Pseudomonadota; Betaproteobacteria. The record is from RNAcentral.
GAGUUUGAUCAUGGCUCAGAUUGAACGCUGGCGGCAUGCCUUACACAUGCAAGUCGAGCGGCAGCGCGGGGGCAACCCUGGCGGCGAGCGGCGAACGGGUGAGUAAUACAUCGGAACGUGUCCAGUAGUGGGGGAUAACCAGUCGAAAGAUUGGCUAAUACCGCAUACGAUCUACGGAUGAAAGCGGGGGACCGCAAGGCCUCGCGCUAUUGGAGCGGCCGAUGUCGGAUUAGCUAGUUGGCGGGGUAAAAGCCCACCAAGGCGACGAUCCGUAGCUGGUCUGAGAGGACGAUCAGCCACACUGGAACUGAGACACGGUCCAGACUCCUACGGGAGGCAGCAGUGGGGAAUUUUGGACAAUGGGGGCAACCCUGAUCCAGCCAUGCCGCGUGAGUGAAGAAGGCC